This 464-nucleotide ribosomal RNA is filed under the name uncultured soil bacterium. Its description in RNAcentral is "bacterial SSU rRNA". It matches the Rfam family "Bacterial small subunit ribosomal RNA", at positions 26 to 518 of the family's 1533-position model. The record is from RNAcentral.
AGAACGAACGCUGGCGGCAUGCCUAAUACAUGCAAGUCGAACGAACACUUCGGUGUUAGUGGCGCACGGGUGCGUAACGCGUGGGAAUCUGCCCUUGGGUUCGGAAUAACAGUUGGAAACGACUGCUAAUACCGGAUGAUGACGAAAGUCCAAAGAUUUAUCGCCCAGGGAUGAGCCCGCGUAGGAUUAGCUAGUUGGUGAGGUAAAGGCUCACCAAGGCGACGAUCCUUAGCUGGUCUGAGAGGAUGAUCAGCCACACUGGGACUGAGACACGGCCCAGACUCCUACGGGAGCAGCAGUAGGGAAUUUGGACAAUGGGCGCAAGCCUGAUCCAGCAAUGCGCGUGCAGGAGAAGGCUCGGUUGUAACUGCUUUGUACGGAACGAACGGUCCUGGUUAAUACCUGGGCUAAGUGACGGUACCGUAAGAAUAAGUACACCGGCUAACUACGUGCCAGCACGCCGC